Molecule: long non-coding RNA, 231 nt
Filed under: Triticum aestivum (bread wheat)
Lineage: Eukaryota; Viridiplantae; Streptophyta; Magnoliopsida; Poales; Poaceae
Description: long non-coding RNA (TAES_LNC001238)
Source: RNAcentral
AUAUACUGAAUGUAGAUUUGUUUAAAUUUAGUUUGCAAAAACCAUUAUCCAAUCCAUGCUCUGUCUUUUUACUACUGGCCUUGUUCUUCCUAAUAGAUGAAUGCAUGGAAGGACUGUACAGAUGCUUACUUGUUCUUGAGGCAUGGCAUUCUGGACUAGGAGAGUCAAGUAGAAGGCCUGGAUAGUGUAAUAGUUAAAAAAUACUGAAACUGUCCCAAAAGGGAAGGAUGG